Molecule: ribosomal RNA, 245 nt
Filed under: uncultured bacterium
Lineage: Bacteria
Description: partial 16S ribosomal RNA
Rfam family: Bacterial small subunit ribosomal RNA
Source: RNAcentral
UACGAAGGGUGCGAGCGUUGUUCGGAUUUAUUGGGCGUAAAGGGUUCGUAGGCGGGAGAGCAAGUGGAGUGUGAAAGCCCUAGGCUUAACCUGGGAGGUGCAUUCUAGACUGUUUUUCUUGAGUGUUGGAGAGGGUAGUGGAAUUGCUGGUGUAGGAGUGACAUCCGUAGAGAUCAGCAGGAACACCAGAGGCGAAGGCGACUGCCUGGUCAAACACUGACGCUGAGGAACGAAAGCGUGGGGAG